GGAGUCACAGACGGUUUGAGACAUGGAAACAACACAGUUUCAUGUUUGUUUUAAAGGAUCGUUUGGCUGCUAGAGUGUACACUGGAUAAAGACAAGAUGGAAAGCAGGCUAUCUUUGCACUGUUGGGACACGGACGGUGGGACCUGCACAGCCAACACACAUCUACUCCCUGGCCCUGGAGAGAGAACUCUGUCGGCUCCUGAUCUCUUGCUCAGGUUCCACCUUGAUGUCCCCUACAGUCCUGCAAAGACAGAAGGUGCUCCACAAAUCCCUGGAUGAAUGGGCGAGGAAGGCUUGAGAGGGGACGGAUCUCUGGCACACUGAAUACACGGCUGCUC
This 338-nucleotide long non-coding RNA is filed under the name Heterocephalus glaber (naked mole-rat). Its description in RNAcentral is "lncRNA (ENSHGLG00100050961.1)". Lineage: Eukaryota; Metazoa; Chordata; Mammalia; Rodentia; Bathyergidae. The record is from RNAcentral.